This 230-nucleotide unclassified non-coding RNA is filed under the name plant metagenome. RNAcentral's name for it is "partial contains small subunit ribosomal RNA, internal transcribed spacer 1, and 5.8S ribosomal RNA". The record is from RNAcentral.
UCUCCGUAGGUGAACCUGCGGAGGGAUCAUUACAGAGUUCUCGCACUCGUGGGUAUUUCUCCCACCCACUGUUAUCGUUACUGUCGUUUCUUUACCUGGCCGCCGGGUCCCCGUCAGCAGGCGUCUAUUAGGCAGCGCGCGCCCGCCAGAGGCCUUAGAACCCUGAAUGUUAGUGUCGUCUGAGUACUAUAUAAUAGUUAAAACUUUCAACAACGGAUCUCUUGGUUCUG